RNAcentral lists this ribosomal RNA (253 nucleotides) under uncultured bacterium. RNAcentral's name for it is "partial 16S ribosomal RNA". It matches the Rfam family "Bacterial small subunit ribosomal RNA", at positions 524 to 776 of the family's 1533-position model. The record is from RNAcentral.
UACAGGGGGUGCAAACGUUGCUCGGAAUCAUUGGGCGUAAAGCGCACGUAGGCGGUCUGUUAUGUCGGAUGUGAAAGCCCUUGGCUCAACUGAGGAAGUGCAUCCGAAACUGGCAGGCUAGAGUACGAAAGAGGAUCGCGGAAUUCCCGGUGUAGAGGUGAAAUGCGCAGAUAUCAGGAGGAACACCAAUGGCGAAGGCAGCUCGCUGGGACGUGACUGACGCUGAGACGCGAAAGCGUGGGGAGCGAACAGG